CCUACGGGAGGCAGCAGUGGGGGAUAUUGGACAAUGGGGGAAACCCUGAUCCAGCGAUGCCGCGUGAGGGAAGAAGGUUUUCGGAUUGUAAACCUCUGUGGAGGGGGACGAUAAUGACGGUACCCCUUUAGGAAGCCACGGCUAACUACGUGCCAGCAGCCGCGGUACUACGUAGGUGGCGAGCGUUGUCCGGAAUUACUGGGUGUAAAGGGAGUGUAGGCGGGAAAGCAAGUCAGAAGUGAAAACUAUGGGCUUAACCCAUAGCCUGCUUUUGAAACUGUUUUUCUUGAGUGAAGUAGAGGCAAGCGGAAUUCCUAGUGUAGCGGUGAAAUGCGUAGAUAUUAGGAGGAACACCAGUGGCGAAGGCGGCUUGCUGGGCUUUUACUGACGCUGAGGCUCGAAAGCGUGGGGAGCAAACAGGAUUAGAUACCCUGGUAGUC
Molecule: ribosomal RNA, 440 nt
Filed under: uncultured bacterium
Lineage: Bacteria
Description: partial 16S ribosomal RNA
Rfam family: Bacterial small subunit ribosomal RNA
Source: RNAcentral